CCCUUAGAUGUUCUGGGCCGCACGCGCGCUACACUGACGAAUGCAACGAGCUUAUAACCUUGGCCGAAAGGUCUGGGUAAUCUCCAAAUUUCGUCGUGAUGGGGAUAGAUUAUUGCAAUUAUUAAUCUUCAACGAGGAAUGCCUAGUAAGCGCAAGUCAUCAGCUUGCGUUGAUUACGUCCCUGCCCCUUGUACACACCGCCCGUCGCUCCUACCGAUUGAAUGGUCCGGUGAAGCGUUCGGACCGUGGCCUUUGGACGGUUCGCCGUCUGUUGGCUGCGGGAAGUUCGUUAAACCUUAUCAUUUAGAGGAAGGAGAAGUCGUAACA
Molecule: ribosomal RNA, 327 nt
Filed under: uncultured eukaryote
Lineage: Eukaryota
Description: partial 18S ribosomal RNA
Rfam family: Eukaryotic small subunit ribosomal RNA
Source: RNAcentral